Molecule: ribosomal RNA, 1053 nt
Filed under: Phocaeicola vulgatus CL09T03C04
Lineage: Bacteria; Pseudomonadati; Bacteroidota; Bacteroidia; Bacteroidales; Bacteroidaceae
Description: bacterial SSU rRNA
Rfam family: Bacterial small subunit ribosomal RNA
Source: RNAcentral
AUACCCGUUUGCAUGUACUUUAUGAAUAAGGAUCGGCUAACUCCGUGCCAGCAGCCGCGGUAAUACGGAGGAUCCGAGCGUUAUCCGGAUUUAUUGGGUUUAAAGGGAGCGUAGAUGGAUGUUUAAGUCAGUUGUGAAAGUUUGCGGCUCAACCGUAAAAUUGCAGUUGAUACUGGAUAUCUUGAGUGCAGUUGAGGCAGGCGGAAUUCGUGGUGUAGCGGUGAAAUGCUUAGAUAUCACGAAGAACUCCGAUUGCGAAGGCAGCCUGCUAAGCUGCAACUGACAUUGAGGCUCGAAAGUGUGGGUAUCAAACAGGAUUAGAUACCCUGGUAGUCCACACGGUAAACGAUGAAUACUCGCUGUUUGCGAUAUACGGCAAGCGGCCAAGCGAAAGCGUUAAGUAUUCCACCUGGGGAGUACGCCGGCAACGGUGAAACUCAAAGGAAUUGACGGGGGCCCGCACAAGCGGAGGAACAUGUGGUUUAAUUCGAUGAUACGCGAGGAACCUUACCCGGGCUUAAAUUGCAGAUGAAUUACGGUGAAAGCCGUAAGCCGCAAGGCAUCUGUGAAGGUGCUGCAUGGUUGUCGUCAGCUCGUGCCGUGAGGUGUCGGCUUAAGUGCCAUAACGAGCGCAACCCUUGUUGUCAGUUACUAACAGGUUCUGCUGAGGACUCUGACAAGACUGCCAUCGUAAGAUGUGAGGAAGGUGGGGAUGACGUCAAAUCAGCACGGCCCUUACGUCCGGGGCUACACACGUGUUACAAUGGGGGGUACAGAGGGCCGCUACCACGCGAGUGGAUGCCAAUCCCAAAAACCUCUCUCAGUUCGGACUGGAGUCUGCAACCCGACUCCACGAAGCUGGAUUCGCUAGUAAUCGCGCAUCAGCCACGGCGCGGUGAAUACGUUCCCGGGCCUUGUACACACCGCCCGUCAAGCCAUGGGAGCCGGGGGUACCUGAAGUGCGUAACCGCGAGGAGCGCCCUAGGGUAAAACUGGUGACUGGGGCUAAGUCGUAACAAGGUAGCCGUACCGGAAGGUGCGGCUGGAACACCU